CAUAAACGAACUCAUCCAAUUCAACGAAGUUCUGACGGUUCUGCUCCAGCGAGAUAAUACGUCCGUACUCAUCGAAUUUAGGUCCGUAGAAUGUGCGGAUGACAACCUUUUGUGGUUUGUCAGAUUGGACUGUGAUGUCAAAGUUGAAUGGUUUGUGGUUGAGACGCAUCUGACGGGCAUAUAAUGCCUUAUCCCAAACGAAUUCGCCAUCAGCGAACACCAUUUUGUCGUUCAUUAAGUUGGUGACAUCAAAGUCUACCAAAUCGUAGUAAGUGACCAUUUCACUGACUCCCACACGCUUGAUUUCAACGCCGGGUAGAGCAAGUUCCUCUCUGGUGUAGGGGUGGAGUUGUUGUUUGUACAGGUAGUAGACGGUGCUGAUUUGCUUGUA
This is a long non-coding RNA of Rhagoletis zephyria (snowberry fruit fly), 391 nucleotides long. RefSeq lists it as uncharacterized. Lineage: Eukaryota; Metazoa; Arthropoda; Insecta; Diptera; Tephritidae. The record is from RefSeq and is a predicted model, not a curated record.